Long non-coding RNA from Trichomycterus rosablanca, 275 nucleotides. RefSeq lists it as uncharacterized. Lineage: Eukaryota; Metazoa; Chordata; Actinopteri; Siluriformes; Trichomycteridae. The record is from RefSeq and is a predicted model, not a curated record. The transcript is spliced from 2 exons.
AGUUGUGGCCAUGGUAAAAUUGUACAGAGCAUCCAUCAUUUCUUGCACAUUAUCAGUUAUGUUUCUCCUUUCUUUCGGGGAAGAGGAGCCCAAGCAGCUGUGUGGCCUGCAGUGAGGGGGUUUGAGACUGUAUGGACCCAGAUGACCUGAGCUGGCACAGAAGGGCUGGAUUCCAUGCGUGGCCGUGUCGAACGCCUAAACACCUAUGAUGAAGAUAAUAAUAAUAAUUAUAACAAUAUUAAUAAUAAUAAUAAACAACUUUGUAACGCUUAAUA